This 1449-nucleotide unclassified non-coding RNA is filed under the name Hevea brasiliensis (rubber tree). The record is from RNAcentral. Lineage: Eukaryota; Viridiplantae; Streptophyta; Magnoliopsida; Malpighiales; Euphorbiaceae.
UUUUUUUUUUUUUUUUAAUUAUUUCUAGUUUUUCUGUUUGCAGACAACAUCAAAGCCGCCCCCAGAAUACUUCCAAAGGCUCCAAUUAUGGCUGCAAAAGUUGAAACUGUUUCGACUUGCUUGCUACGAGACUUUCCUGUCUUACAGAAGGUGACAAAGUGCUCGCAGUUUUUUCGAGCAAGGUCAUAGUCGUCGAAUCCAUGUUCCAGUAGGAAGUAGGCCUUCUCCACAACUUCUUUAGCUGGUUUCGAAUUUCCAUCAUACUGCUUCACCUGCAAUUCGCCCCCUGACAGGAAACAAUCAAGGCAGGUUUUCACCACUCCAGGAUUCGUAUUCCUCCCAUACCCACAUACUGCGCAUGGGUAAACCUGGUUUGUGGGGAGACUUCUACUAGUGCUGGCAGUGGAGCUUGAGCCUACAAAAAAUACAUUUUCUGUGGAGACGAAGUGAAUCACGUACUUGACUCCAUCGACCUCGCCCACAUAAAUUCCUGCCAUAGUUAAUAAUCAUUCAAGCAUCAAAUUGUCUACGGUAAGAUUAAAUAUGUAUUUAGUUACAUACUUAAAAUCAUAUGCCAAAGUCAAUGAGUCUUAUCUUAAUGAUACUGGAAUAGUCUUUAGCACAACGAGAUAUCGAUUUAGAAUUACAAUAAUCAAAUGAAGAAAAAAAAUCAUAGGCUGAAGUCCAGUAAGUUUUAAUUUAGUGAAAGUAGACUAACCAUGGUGAUAGUAUGUAGACCUCCAAACAUAGAUAUGAUCACCCACUUGGAGUUCAUCAGGACUAACCAUUUCCCUCAAACUAUCAACUCCUUCAAUAUAUGGCUGAAUGGUGAUUGAUUGUUAUUUUUCAUUUGGUAAUUGCAAUUACAAGUGUAUUUAUAUAGUCAUCCUACAUGCUAAUCAAUUAACAUGUUAGAAUCCUAUCCUAAUGACUUUGCUUAGGAACUUUUACUUUUCACUUUGACAACCAAGCAAGCAUUUAAUUGUUCUGAUGCUCAAAAAAAGAAUUGCAGUACAAAAUUUAUUCCUUGACUAUCAAAGAACAAGAAUUGGAUGAACCUAGCUUUCUCAGCUUUGGAUUCUUCUUGGAGAGCUUUAUCAAAAAUCUGAAACUUUGAACUUACGCAAAAUUUCUUCAGGUUCAGGACACACAGCCUGUAGUUGAGGUUACAUCCCAGCAGCAAGACAUCGCUUGUUGCUGUAAAAUUAUUCAGAAGGAAAUCAAGCUUGAUGUGCACAGCUCCGGUUGAAUGAAAUUUCAUUUCUGUUUAAAAAAAAUUCCAUAAAAAUAUAAAGAAAUUGCGCACAGCUCAACCACUAUUGAUGUGCAGGUACAAAAAUGAACACACAAGUCACCAAUCUAACUUCCUAAACUAUAAAUAAAUGAUUGUUAUUUUCUGGAUUUUUCUUAGGUAGGUGGUUACCCAACUUUAAAAUAAAUGUUAGUGCC